UUUAAGCGUAACCAUGAGUUUCUCCAACUUUGAUCGUUCGUUUUAUUUGAAAUUUUUUUGUAAUUAGUACUUUUGUUGUUAUGAGAUGAUAAAACAUUAAGUACUUUAUGUGUGACUUAUGUUUUUAAUUGUUUUAAAAAAUUUUUUAAAUAAGACGGAUGAUCGAAGUUGAGCAUGUACGAAAAAGCAUGGCUGCACUUAAA
Molecule: non-coding RNA, 203 nt
Organism: Oryza meridionalis
Lineage: Eukaryota; Viridiplantae; Streptophyta; Magnoliopsida; Poales; Poaceae
Source: Rfam